CAGCAGUGGGGAAUAUUGCACAAUGGGGGAAACCCUGAUGCAGCAACGCCGCGUGAGUGAUGAAGGUCUUCGGAUUGUAAAGCUCUGUCUUCAGGGACGAUAAUGACGGUACCUGAGGAGGAAGCCACGGCUAACUACGUGCCAGCAGCCGCGGUAAUACGUAGGUGGCAAGCGUUAUCCGGAUUUACUGGGCGUAAAGGGAGCGUAGGCGGAUAAUUAAGUGGGAUGUGAAAUACCCGGGCUCAACUUGGGUGCUGCAUUCCAAACUGGUUAUCUAGAGUGCAGGAGAGGAGAGUGGAAUUCCUAGUGUAGCGGUGAAAUGCGUAGAGAUUAGGAAGAACACCAGUGGCGAAGGCGACUCUCUGGACUGUAACUGACGCUGAGGCUCGAAAGCGUGGGGAGCAAACAGGAUUAGA
RNAcentral lists this ribosomal RNA (416 nucleotides) under uncultured Eubacterium sp. RNAcentral's name for it is "bacterial SSU rRNA". It matches the Rfam family "Bacterial small subunit ribosomal RNA", at positions 349 to 782 of the family's 1533-position model. The record is from RNAcentral. Lineage: Bacteria; Bacillati; Bacillota; Clostridia; Eubacteriales; Eubacteriaceae.